AUACGGAGGAUCCGAGCGUUAUCCGGAUUUAUUGGGUUUAAAGGGUGCGCAGGCGGGAUGUUAAGUCGGCGGUGAAAUUUUGCGGCUCAAAUGUAAAAGGGCCUUCGAUACUGGCUUUCUUGAGUGGGGAUGAAGUAGGCGGAAAUUGUGGGGUAGAGGGGAAAUGCUUAGAUAUCACGAGGAACUCCGAUUGCGCAGGCAGCUUACUAAACCACUACUGACGCUCAUGCACGAAGGCGUGGGGAUCAAACAGGAUUAGAUACCCUGGUAGUCCACGCAGUAAACGAUGAUUACUAGUUGUUUGCGAUACAAUGUAAGCGACUGAGCGAAAGCGUUAAGUAAUCCACCUGGGGAGUACGUUCGCAAGAAUGAAACUCAAAUGAAUCGACGGAG
RNAcentral lists this ribosomal RNA (393 nucleotides) under uncultured bacterium. RNAcentral describes it as "partial 16S ribosomal RNA". It matches the Rfam family "Bacterial small subunit ribosomal RNA", at positions 523 to 918 of the family's 1533-position model. The record is from RNAcentral.